Paramacrobiotus metropolitanus is the source of this 772-nucleotide long non-coding RNA. RefSeq lists it as uncharacterized. The record is from RefSeq and is a predicted model, not a curated record. Lineage: Eukaryota; Metazoa; Tardigrada; Eutardigrada; Parachela; Macrobiotidae. The transcript has 3 exons.
UGCAUCCAGCGGAAGUCCAUUCGAUCAUCGAGAAGGUCACCAGCAGACGCCAUAUUCUAUAGACAUUUUUUUCCUGCAGUUUUCGCUAUACUGGAUGCACAAUAAGGAAUAGAGUCAAGUAUUAUGUUUGUAUUACAAAUGAGCUGCUGCGUUGAAUGACGCAGUUAAAACGAUGGCCGCUGAAACGUGUAAAAGCGCAAACAAAUUAGCAAUCUGCGGUGAGAAGAGCUCGUUGAAAUGAUGACAUCUGCUGGGUUGUCUUUAAGAAUUCAGAUGAAAGCGGGAAAGCGUUAACGCACAUCGGAAACCGAGGCAGCAGCUGUGUUACCAUUAUACAGACAUUGCGGCGGUGUGUUAUACAGACAUUGCGGCGGUUUGAAGUCACUGAUAGCUCAAGGCGGCGUUUUCACGUUAUUACGCCCAGAUUCCGCAUAUACUGCCCAUUUCCAUCGGGAUCCGCACUAUAGUAAUUGAUCUAUAGUUGUGGUCUUGUCAGUUUUCCGGCCUUUGUGUUGAAGUUGGAUUCGUUUUAAGAAAGCUCUUGGUGGUGAUUUGGCUGUGCUCUUCCUGCUCGUUUGAAAAGUGCUUUGAAAAGUGACCUUUUGAUUUUGGAAAAAUGGCGACCGCUCAUUCUCAGUCCUAUCUGAUAGCAACAUUUCUAGUGGCGCUCCUGUCAUUCUGUGCGCUGGUGCAUUGUGGACAAUACGACAAAUAUCUGUACAACAUGGGCUUGGGCAAAAGGUGAGAAAUACCACCCGUUUAUCGGUAAUAG